RNAcentral lists this long non-coding RNA (821 nucleotides) under Rattus norvegicus (Norway rat). RNAcentral's name for it is "long non-coding RNA NONRATT024858". Lineage: Eukaryota; Metazoa; Chordata; Mammalia; Rodentia; Muridae. The record is from RNAcentral.
GCUAGACCUUCAGAACUGUUCCCUGAAGGAUCCGAACCUUUUCCCAGCUUAUACUGCUGUCAUCAUAGACCUUCAAGCAAACCCUCUCAAGGAUGACUUGACCAGCACCUUCCAUGGAUUUACUCAGCUGCAGACUCUGGAUCGAACCCAUGGCUUUGCCUGUUGUUGAAUGUUUGUUCUAUCACCGAGCUACACCCCAACCUCUUCAGCUGUGCAUUUAUGAUCAUGUCUGUUGUCUUCAGGAUACUACCACAAGAUGUCCACUGUCCUGGAGGUAUUAAUGCCUGGGACAGUGUUACUUCUUUCAUGGACAAGCAGAUUUGCCAAGGGCAAAAGGACCUUUGUAAUAGCACCGGAAGCCCAGAAAUGUGUCCUGAGAAUGGGUCUUGUGCGUCUGAUGGUCCAGGUCUUUUGCAAUGCGUUUGUGCCGAUGGUUUCCAUGGAUACAAGUGUAUGAGGCAGGGCUCAUUUUCACUGCUCAUGUUCUUUGGGAUUCUGGGAUCCACCACGCUAGCCAUCUCCAUUCUACUUUGGGGAACCCAGCGCCGGAAGGCCAAGGCUUCAUGAAUCACACAAGACUUCCAGCUCACCUGACUGAGCACCCUGUCGAUCGAGUCCCGGUCGCGUCGCAGCCAGGAAGACUUUACUUCGUUGACAAACAGUACAGGCCAGUGAGCGACCGGCUUAAGGCUGAAGCGGCCUUUGAUAAUGAAAGAAGAUGUCAAAUUGCACCGCCUCGGGGGUCUUGUGGACACUUGGUUCUGGAGUGGACUAGUACUAAUUUGUAUUAUUGACAACAAUAAACACCUUUUUCCCCAGUG